AAGCGGCCCAGGGACUGCACGAGGAAGGUGGCCCAGCCCACGUGCAGGACGGGGGUGGGGCUGCCCUCCUCCCAGCGGCAGAUGCCAUCGUAGAAACGAAGGAGGUGGGCGAAGCAUUCGGGGUCCUGAAGGGCUGAGAGACCCCCGGGGCUGGGGGGCGCCUGGGGGGGGGUGGGGGAGGGGGAGGAAAAGGCUCAGGUUGAGAGGAGAGGAGAAGAACCCCCCCCUGAAAUGGGGGAACCCUCCAUAGUUACCCCAAAAUGCGAGACCCCCACCCAAAUAGGGGGGACUUCCGUUGGAAUCACGGGGCCACCUUAAAUGUGGGGCCACCUUAAAUGGGGCUCACCCAUACGGACCCCCGAAGUGUGGGACCCCCAAGUGUGGGGCACCCAGAGAGCUCCCAUGUGGGACCCCAAAAGUGUGGGAUCCCCAAAUGUGGGGCACAGAGACCCCAUGUGGGACCCCCAAAGUGUGGGACCCCCACCCCAAUGGGGGGGAGCUCCAUCGGAAUCACGGGGCCACCUUAAAUGUGGGGCCACCUUAAAUGGGGCUCAUCCAUACGGACCCCCGAAGUGUGGAGCACCCAAAGUGUGGGGCACCCAGAGAGCUCCCAUGUGGGACCCCCAAAUGUGGGUCACAGAGACCCCACGUGGGACCCCCAAAGUGUGGGACCCCCACCCGAAUGGGGGGGGACCUCCAUUGGAAUCGUGGGGCCACCUUAAAUGUGGGGCCACCUUAAAUGGGGCCCACCCAUACGGACCCCCGAAGUGUGGGACCCCCAAGCGUGGGGCACCCAGAGAGCUCCCAUGUGGGACCCCAAAAGUGUGGGACCCCCAAAUGUGGGGCACAGAGACCCCAUGUGAGACCCCCAAAGUGUGGGACCCCCACCCAAAUGGGGGGGACCUCCAUCAGAAUUGUGGAGCCACCUUAAAUGGGGCUCACCCAUAUGGACCCCCAAAAUGUGGGACCCCCAAGUGUGGGGGACCCACAGAGCUCCCCAUACUGACCCCAUAGGACCCCCCCAAGCCCCA
RNAcentral lists this long non-coding RNA (1031 nucleotides) under Phasianus colchicus (ring-necked pheasant). Its description in RNAcentral is "lncRNA (ENSPCLG00000016777.1)". The record is from RNAcentral. Lineage: Eukaryota; Metazoa; Chordata; Aves; Galliformes; Phasianidae.